AGCAAAGUGGACUAACGUCUAAGAAGAAUACUGUAACACCCCGAUUUCGGGGAAUAUGGUGGUGCAUGCGGAGAAAUUUAAAAGAACUGAUUUGGCCAUCUAUGUCACCAAAGUGCACUUAUAUUUUCGGUCAAAGGUCCUGAGAGAAUUCCACUGUUAAGCGUGCUUGGGCUGGAGUAGUUUCAGGAUGGAUGACCUUUCGGAAAGUAACUGUCGGAACCAUGCGAGUGAGGACAAAGCAUGGAGAAAGAUCAUGUGGUAAUUUUUAGGGUCGGUAACAAGUCUUUAAAGCCUCCCGGACGUGGCGCACCGACUGUCGGACAGGAGUGUUAUAAGUUUUUU
Molecule: small RNA, 342 nt
Filed under: Arabidopsis thaliana (thale cress)
Lineage: Eukaryota; Viridiplantae; Streptophyta; Magnoliopsida; Brassicales; Brassicaceae
Description: ATSL027330
Source: RNAcentral